GGAGUCUGGUCCGUGUCUCAGUACCAGUGUGGGGGACCUUCCUCUCAGAACCCCUACCGAUCGAUGCCCCGGUGGGCCGUUACCCCGCCGGCAAGCUAAUCAGACGCAUCCCCAUCAUAUACCGUCAAACUUUGAUUCCAGUUGGAUGUCCGCAAGGAAUCUCAUCGGGGGUUAAUUCGGUUUUCACCGGGCUAUCCCCGAGUAUAUGGCAGGUUGGAUACGCGUUACUCACCCGUGCGCCGGUCGCCGUCAUACUGGUGCAAGCACCUGUACACGCUGCCCCUCGACUUGCAUGUGUUAAGCCUGUAGCUAGCGUUCAUCCUGAGCCAUGACAAACUCU
This 340-nucleotide ribosomal RNA is filed under the name uncultured Prevotella sp. Its description in RNAcentral is "partial 16S ribosomal RNA". Lineage: Bacteria; Pseudomonadati; Bacteroidota; Bacteroidia; Bacteroidales; Prevotellaceae. The record is from RNAcentral.